Long non-coding RNA from Rana temporaria (common frog), 514 nucleotides. RefSeq lists it as uncharacterized. The record is from RefSeq and is a predicted model, not a curated record. The transcript has 3 exons. NCBI's taxonomy places the organism in Eukaryota, Metazoa, Chordata, Amphibia, Anura, Ranidae.
GGCUCUACUAAUAAAGAGACAACAAUGUAUCGACCUUCUGCUUUACUAAUUAGCAUUUCCUCCUGAUGAGCGUCGCAGGUUUCGUCUCAUCAGGUCCCGUCCAAUGAUAGGAGAAGGAUCAGCAGCUGCGGCAUGGAUUUCCACUUGUGUCCGUUAUGUAGGAGGUAUGACACAGAGGACUUGGCGGAUCGGGGCCACCAAAGACGUUCCAGUAAAAAUAACGCCGGCAUGUCGGUGGAAACCACAAAGUGAAAUGAGCGGCGGCGAGGAGGUUUCCUGAGGACGCGGCUCAUUAUCUCUUUCUGCCCGGAUGAACCUCUCGUGGCUUUGUGUGAUCAUUUCCUUGUCUGUCUCAUUUCACAACGCGUUUCACCUGUUAACCCUUCGCCUGAAUCCCAAUUCUCAUUCGAUUCAAUGCGUAAUGAAACAUUAUUCAGGGCGAAUCCCAGAUUUGACGCGUCUUUAGAGAACACGGGAUAAAGAUUUCUAUGGACUUUACUGACACAAAAUCACU